AGCUGGUGAGUCUGAGGAGCAAGUAACAAGAGAAGAGAUCCCAGUGCCUAGUGACAAAGAUGAAGAAGAAGAGAAUGCACCUGAGCCUAACAUGGACUUCGCAGAGAAAGACAUUUAACAAGAGCCAAAAGCAUUACCAUUAGUAUGGACACCUCGAGGGCUACAGAAUAAUUAAAAGAUUCAAGGAAAAGGAAAAAUAGUUCUUGAGUAGGAAUCUAUAUGUACUGUCUGUGGCAAUAUCUCAGUCAGAAAAUCUGUUUUUAAUUUCUUUUUCUUUGAUCAGUUUAAUGUUUACAUUAGUUAACUAGUAAGCUUGUUGUCUGAUAUCUUCCUUAUAUGGUUACAUAGGUAGGAUAUCUAAGUAGACGUAUAGUGGCAGUCUAUCUUCGUUUCCUAUUGUUGUGUUUGUUUUUUGUUUGUUUGUAUUUUGUGUUUGUUUGUUUUUUUCAAUUGUAACAUUUUGUUAUGUAUAUUUUUUGUUUGAUUUUUUGUUACGUUUUUUGUCACUUGUAACAUGUAUGUCCACCUAAUAUUCAAGUCUAUUACUCUUCGCAUGUUUCUAUAGACCAUAGUUCUUAGACCACAUUCAAACCUAAUGGAUAAAGGGAAACACAACGAUAUCACCGGUGAAGCCAGCCUGAAAUCCUGUACAGCUGGUUAUACAAUUUGUCUUUCGCCUCUUUGACUCUUAAAACAUAACUCUUGUAAAUUUUGAAACAAAAUUUGAAAUUUCUCAUGGUACAGGCCUGCAACAAGUCGAAAAGGUGGCUACGCUCCCAGUAUAAUAAGACAUUUCAGUCUGCAUGCUGAUCUAUCCAUUGAAGUUAUUCCCUAUUAUCAGUAAUAAUAUAGCUGAGUAAAUAUAUUGGUUAGAAAUGCUCCACCGGUUUUAGACCUAAUGUUUGGCUCAUUACCAUGGUAAUUUUUUAGCUUGUUCAGAGCUUGUUCUCAGUUUAAAAGGGACUCGAUGACCUGAUUACUUUCCUUCCACACUUCUAUCUCAGUUUUUCCCAAAACUGCGAUUUCAUAAUAGGACAUGAAUCAUGAUAGCUGACCGAUGCAAGUGUUUAAUUAACGCUUAAAUUAACUUUCGAAAGUUCAGUUUCAAUGGUGUCUCUAAUUUAGAAAACAGGCAAGCAAAUAUUGAACAAACACCUAGAAUUUAAUUGGG
Molecule: long non-coding RNA, 1171 nt
Organism: Stylophora pistillata
Lineage: Eukaryota; Metazoa; Cnidaria; Anthozoa; Scleractinia; Pocilloporidae
Source: RefSeq, a predicted model, not a curated record